AAAAGGGGAAAAUCCCGUGAUGUGAUCUGCGGUUUUGGUGUCCACAUCAUGGUAUUAAAGUGAGUCAAAAGUGCUACUAGGAAAAGACAAAGCUACUACUACUACUUUGCUUGAGCCUGGGAAGUACCUCCCUCAUGUAGAGAUAGAUGGAUUCCAGCGAGAUCCUAGUACCAGUACUAUGGUCCUCAAGGGAAAUUACUAUUAAAAAAGAGGUGGAAGAAGGAAAGAAGACCACGACAAGAUGGAAGUUGCAGAUACGGACUCGCAAGACCACCCACGACCGGAAGCAUGGAGGGUCUCUGCCGCCGCAGCUAGCCCUCACCUUGUCGGCUCACCUCCACGGCCAUGGGCUCGGCCUCGCGGUCUCCAUAGCCAUCUCUCCGCCUCUGAGCACCUACAAACCAGCUUUCCUCCUGCAGUUGAGCCGCCCCCGCUACUCGUCAGCAACGCACGGCCCGCCCACACCUGCGCCUGCUCCGACCAGCCAUCUCCGCGCAUCAAGCCGGCUGCGCCGGGCCACCAGCCCCUGCCGCUGCGGGCCUGAGUCGUCGGCCGCCUUCGCUGUCGAGUCGACUGCACGCCUCUGCCCCUAUUACAAAUUCUUCAAUGUGUACAUAUGUAAAGAUAGGUUGAGCAAAGAAAUUUUGGAGUUAGCGUCUCCUACAUCGACUGUUUUCGCCACCC
RNAcentral lists this long non-coding RNA (684 nucleotides) under Triticum aestivum (bread wheat). RNAcentral describes it as "long non-coding RNA (TAES_LNC003215)". Lineage: Eukaryota; Viridiplantae; Streptophyta; Magnoliopsida; Poales; Poaceae. The record is from RNAcentral.